This 400-nucleotide unclassified non-coding RNA is filed under the name uncultured fungus. RNAcentral's name for it is "sequence contains ITS1". Lineage: Eukaryota; Fungi. The record is from RNAcentral.
GCCGUCAAUUCCUUUGAGUUUUAAUCUUGCGACCGUACUCCCCAGGCGGUCAACUUCACGCGUUAGCUGCGCUACUAAGGGCCGAAGCCCCCAACAGCUAGUUGACAUCGUUUAGGGCGUGGACUACCAGGGUAUCUAAUCCUGUUUGCUCCCCACGCUUUCGUGCAUGAGCGUCAGUAUCAUCCCAGGGGGCUGCCUUCGCCAUCGGUGUUCCUCCGCAUAUCUACGCAUUUCACUGCUACACGCGGAAUUCCACCCCCCUCUGACAUACUCUAGCUCGGGAGUUAAAAGUGCAGUUCCAAGGUUAAGCCCUGGGAUUUCACACCUCUCUUUCCGAACCGCCUGCGCACGCUUUACGCCCAGUAAUUCCGAACAACGCUCGCACCCUCCGUAUUACCGC